UAGGGAAUCUUCGGCAAUGGACGAAAGUCUGACCGAGCAACGCCGCGUGAGUGAAGAAGGUUUUCGGAUCGUAAAACUCUGUUGUUAGAGAAGAACAAGGACGUUAGUAACUGAACGUCCCCUGACGGUAUCUAACCAGAAAGCCACGGCUAACUACGUGCCAGCAGCCGCGGUAAUACGUAGGUGGCAAGCGUUGUCCGGAUUUAUUGGGCGUAAAGCGAGCGCAGGCGGUUUCUUAAGUCUGAUGUGAAAGCCCCCGGCUCAACCGGGGAGGGUCAUUGGAAACUGCGAGACUUGAGUGCAGAAGAGGAGAGUGGAAUUCCAUGUGUAGCGGUGAAAUGCGUAGAUAUAUGGAGGAACACCAGUGGCGAAGGCGGCUCUCUGGUCUGUAACUGACGCUGAGGCGCGAAAGCGUGGGGAGCAAACAGG
This 429-nucleotide ribosomal RNA is filed under the name Gemmatimonadota bacterium. RNAcentral describes it as "Gemmatimonadetes bacterium partial 16S ribosomal RNA". It matches the Rfam family "Bacterial small subunit ribosomal RNA", at positions 355 to 776 of the family's 1533-position model. The record is from RNAcentral. Lineage: Bacteria; Pseudomonadati; Gemmatimonadota.